Molecule: long non-coding RNA, 651 nt
Filed under: Hordeum vulgare
Lineage: Eukaryota; Viridiplantae; Streptophyta; Magnoliopsida; Poales; Poaceae
Description: long non-coding RNA (HVUL_LNC008351)
Source: RNAcentral
UUGUAAUAAGGGUAUAUAUAUAGGCCGUGAAGCACUAGCUAGGCACGGGUAAGGCUACAUAACGCAAGCACCCGACCUGAUCACCGACCCUGCGAUCGGUCGCGUGCAUGGAGCUGGAGGACGGCGGCGGCGGCGUGGCGACGGAGCCCGACCGUGGCAAUGCCUUCGGCAGCGGCACGGGCUGGCUGCUGGCUAUGAGCGGCGCCGCGAUUGUGGUUACCGCCAUCGGGAUGGCGCUGUACAUCUGCUGCACCUACCAGGGGAAUACUAGCUGCCGGUGCCAAGCGUUCCCGCUGGGUGCUGCCGUGGAGCUCGGGUUGUCCCUGGCCGUCGGGUUCGCCUUCUUGGCCUGCCUCGCGCUCCGCUUGUGCUGCUGCUGCUGCUGGCGGUCCGGCUGCCUCGACGUGCCGUCCCGCGACGUCAUGGAUGCUAUUUAGGUUUAUACUACUCCAUAUUAAAAUAACAUCGAAAUCAUGAUGUAUUUAGUUACUUCGUUUAGUUGGUGCUGUUCUGCAUUAUUGUCUACGUUAUCACUUGAAUGGCUUAUGUAUUUAUUGCACAUCGAAAUCUGUAAACAAAUAAUUCCCUUCGUAUCAAAAUAAGUGUCUUAACAAUUAUUGUAGGAUAGAGGAAGUAUUUUGCAGAUGGAAC